RNAcentral lists this ribosomal RNA (1343 nucleotides) under uncultured bacterium. RNAcentral's name for it is "16S ribosomal RNA". It matches the Rfam family "Bacterial small subunit ribosomal RNA", at positions 28 to 1378 of the family's 1533-position model. The record is from RNAcentral.
GACGAACGCUGGCGGCGUGCUUAACACAUGCAAGUCGAACGGAAAGGCCCUGCUUUUGUGGGGUGCUCGAGUGGCGAACGGGUGAGUAACACGUGAGUAACCUGCCCUUGACUUUGGGAUAACUUCAGGAAACUGGGGCUAAUACCGGAUAGGAGCUCCUGCUGCAUGGUGGGGGUUGGAGAGUUUCGGCGGUUGGGGAUGGACUCGCGGCUUAUCAGCUUGUUGGUGGGGUAGUGGCUUACCAAGGCUUUGACGGGUAGCCGGCCUGAGAGGGUGACCGGCCACAUUGGGACUGAGAUACGGCCCAGACUCCUACGGGAGGCAGCAGUGGGGAAUAUUGCACAAUGGGCGGAAGCCUGAUGCAGCAACGCCGCGUGCGGGAUGACGGCCUUCGGGUUGUAAACCGCUUUCGCCUGUGACGAAGCGUGAGUGACGGUAAUGGGUAAAGAAGCACCGGCUAACUACGUGCCAGCAGCCGCGGUGAUACGUAGGGUGCGAGCGUUGUCCGGAUUUAUUGGGCGUAAAGGGCUCGUAGGUGGUUGAUCGCGUCGGAAGUGUAAUCUUGGGGCUUAACCCUAAGCGUGCUUUCGAUACGGGUUGACUUGAGGAAGGUAGGGGAGAAUGGAAUUCCUGGUGGAGCGGUGGAAUGCGCAGAUAUCAGGAGGAACACCAGUGGCGAAGGCGGUUCUCUGGGCCUUUCCUGACGCUGAGGAGCGAAAGCGUGGGGAGCGAACAGGCUUAGAUACCCUGGUAGUCCACGCUGUAAACGGUGGGUACUAGGUGUGGGGUCCAUUCCACGGGUUCCGUGCCGUAGCUAACGCUUUAAGUACCCCGCCUGGGGAGUACGGCCGCAAGGCUAAAACUCAAAGGAAUUGACGGGGCCCCGCACAAGCGUCGGAGCAUGCGGAUUAAUUCGAUGCAACGCGUAGAACCUUACCUGGGUUUGACAUGGAUCGGGAGUGCUCAGAGAUGGGUGUGCCUCUUUUGGGGUCGGUUCACAGGUGGUGCAUGGCUGUCGUCAGCUCGUGUCGUGAGAUGUUGGGUUAAGUCCCGCAACGAGCGCAACCCUUGUUCACUGUUGCCAGCACGUUAUGGUGGGGACUCAGUGGAGACCGCCGGGGUCAACUCGGAGGAAGGUGGGGAUGACGUCAAGUCAUCAUGCCCCUUAUGUCCAGGGCUUCACGCAUGCUACAAUGGCUGGUACAGAGAGUGGCGAGCCUGUGAGGGUGAGCGAAUCUCGGAAAGCCGGUCUCAGUUCGGAUUGGGGUCUGCAACUCGACCUCAUGAAGUCGGAGUCGCUAGUAAUCGCAGAUCAGCAACGCUGCGGUGAAUACGUUCCCGGG